RNAcentral lists this long non-coding RNA (472 nucleotides) under Homo sapiens (human). RNAcentral's name for it is "non-protein coding lnc-MGST3-4:1". The record is from RNAcentral. Lineage: Eukaryota; Metazoa; Chordata; Mammalia; Primates; Hominidae.
AACGACAAACACAGGGAAAGAGAAGAAUUACCCAAUAUAUGUUCUCUAGGCCUUUUAGAAAACAUGGAGUUGUUCCUUGGGCCACGUGCAUGCAAAUCUAUAAGAAAGGCAAUACUGUAGACAUCAAGCGAACGGGUACUAUUCAAAAAGGAAUGCCCAAAAGCAUUACCUGGGAAAAACUGGAAGAGUCUACAAUGUUACCCAGCAUGUUGUUGGCACUGCUGUAAACAAAUUAAGGGCAAAAUUCUUGCCAAGAGAAUUAACGUGCACAUUGAGCACAUUAAGCGCUCUAAGACCCAAGAUAGCUUCUGAAAUGCAUGAAAGAAGAUGAUCAGAAAAAGAAGGAAGCCAAAGAGAAAGGUACCUGGUUUCAGCUGAAGCACCAGCCUACUCCACCCAGGGAAUCCCACUGUGUGAGAACCAACGGGAAGGAGCCUGAGCUGCUGGAACCUAUUCCCUAUGAAUUCAUGGC